Molecule: regulatory RNA element, 120 nt
Rfam family: Ribosomal protein L10 leader
About the family: This family is a putative r-protein leader autoregulatory structure found in B. subtilis and other low-GC Gram-positive bacteria.
Source: Rfam
UUAACAAAAUCUAAUUUGCCAAAGACAGCAAGUGCGUAAGCUUAAUUUCUUGCCGAGGACUAAAAAUGACUAUUUUUAACCCUCUUUUGUCUUGGCUUAAGAGGGUUUUAAUUUUAAAUC